Molecule: ribosomal RNA, 497 nt
Filed under: uncultured bacterium
Lineage: Bacteria
Description: partial 16S ribosomal RNA
Rfam family: Bacterial small subunit ribosomal RNA
Source: RNAcentral
GAUGAACGCUGGCGGCGUGCCUAAUACAUGCAAGUCGAGCGAACAGACGAGGAGCUUGCUCCUCUGACGUUAGCGGCGGACGGGUGAGUAACACGUGGAUAACCUACCUAUAAGACUGGGAUAACUUCGGGAAACCGGAGCUAAUACCGGAUAACAUGUUGAACCGCAUGGUUUAACAGUGAAAGACGGUCUUGCUGUCACUUAUAGAUGGAUCCGCGCCGCAUUAGCUAGUUGGUGAGGUAACGGCUUACCAAGGCAACGAUGCGUAGCCGACCUGAGAGGGUGAUCGGCCACCUGGGAACUGGGACACGGUCCAGACUCCUACGGGAGGCAGCAGUAGGGAAUCGUCCGCAAUGGGCGAAAGCCUGACGGAGCAACGCCGCGUGAGUGAAGAAGGUCUUCGGAUCGUAAAACUCUGUUAUUAGGGAAGAACAAAUGUGUAAGUAACUAUGCACGUCUUGACGGUACCUAAUCAGAAAGCCACGGCUAACUACGUG